This 581-nucleotide ribosomal RNA is filed under the name Paraphaeosphaeria sp. CBS 978.95. RNAcentral's name for it is "eukaryotic LSU rRNA". The stretch from base 222 to 375 matches the Rfam family "5.8S ribosomal RNA". The record is from RNAcentral. Lineage: Eukaryota; Fungi; Ascomycota; Dothideomycetes; Pleosporales; Didymosphaeriaceae.
CGUAACAAGGUUUCCGUAGGUGAACCUGCGGAAGGAUCAUUAUCCAUUCAAAACCAGCUGCGGUCGCGGCCCCACGCUUACCCGUGGUGGUGCGCGCCGCACGUCUGCACCCUUUCUUUACGAGUACCUUCGUUCUCCCUCGGCGGGGCAACCUGCCGUCGGAAUCAAACAAACCCUUUUUUGCAUCUAGCAUUACCUGUUCUGAUACAAACAAUCGUUACAACUUUCAACAAUGGAUCUCUUGGCUCUGGCAUCGAUGAAGAACGCAGCGAAAUGCGAUAAGUAGUGUGAAUUGCAGAAUUCAGUGAAUCAUCGAAUCUUUGAACGCACAUUGCGCCCCUUGGUAUUCCAUGGGGCAUGCCUGUUCGAGCGUCAUCUACACCCUCAAGCUCUGCUUGGUGUUGGGCGUCUGUCCCGCCUCUGCGCGCGGACUCGCCUCAAAAUCAUUGGCAGCGGUCCUUGCCUCCUCUCGCGCAGCACAUUGCGCUUCUCGAGGGGCGUGGGUCGCGUCCACGAAGCAACAUUACCGUCUUUGACCUCGGAUCAGGUAGGGAUACCCGCUGAACUUAAGCAUAUCAAUA